This 492-nucleotide ribosomal RNA is filed under the name uncultured bacterium. Its description in RNAcentral is "partial 16S ribosomal RNA". It matches the Rfam family "Bacterial small subunit ribosomal RNA", at positions 29 to 507 of the family's 1533-position model. The record is from RNAcentral.
AGUGAACGCUGGCGGUAGGCCUAACACAUGCAAGUCGAACGGCAGCACAGUAAGAGCUUGCUCUUACGGGCGGCGAGUGGCGGACGGGUGAGGAAUACAUUGGACUCGCCUUUUUCGGGGGGGCUAACGUAGGGAAACAUACGCUAAUACCGCAACCGACCUACGUGUGAAAGCAGGGGAUCUUCGAACCUGGCGCGACUGAAUGAGCAGAAGUCGGAUUGGGUAGUUGGCGGGGUAAAGGCCCACCAAGGCUACGAUCCGUAGCUGGUCUGAGAGGAUGAUCGGCCACACUGGAACUGAGAAACGGUCCAGACUCCUACGGGAGGCGGCAGUGGGGAAUAUUCGACAAUGGGCGAAAGCCUGAGCCAGCCAGCCCGCGGAGGUGAGGAAGGCCUUCGGGUGGUAAAGCCCGUUUGUUGGGAAAGAAGGGCAGCAGGCUAAUACUCAGAUGUACUGACGGUACCCAAAGAGUAAGCACCGGCUAACUUCGUG